CCCUUAGAUGUUCUGGGCCGCACGCGCGCUACACUGAUGCAUUCAACGAGUCCAACCUUGACCGAGAGGUCCGGGUAAUCUUUGAAACUGUAUCGUGAUGGGGCUAGAUUAUUGCAAUUAUUAAUCUUCAACGAGGAAUGCCUAGUAAGCGUGAUUCAUCAAAUCGCGUUGAUUACGUCCCUGCCCUUUGUACACACCGCCCGUCGCUCCUACCGAUUGAGUGUGUUGGUGAGGAGUUUGGAUUGGCCUCGGAAGGUGGUUCGCCACCGUCCGUAGCUGAGAAGUUCUCCAAACCGCCCCACUUAGAGGAAGGAGAAGUCGUAACA
RNAcentral lists this ribosomal RNA (326 nucleotides) under uncultured eukaryote. RNAcentral's name for it is "partial 18S ribosomal RNA". It matches the Rfam family "Eukaryotic small subunit ribosomal RNA", at positions 1470 to 1796 of the family's 1831-position model. The record is from RNAcentral.